UUGAUUACGGCCCUGCCCUUUGACACACCGGCCCGUCGCUGCCCGGGACUGAGCCAUUUCGAGAAAUUUGGGGACCGUUGAUUUAAUUUUUCUAAAUUACUUUGAUGCAGACCAAUUUAAUCGCAGUGGCUUGAACCGGGCAAAAGUCGUAACAAGGUUGCUGUAGGUGAACCUGCUGCUGGAUCAUUAC
This 190-nucleotide ribosomal RNA is filed under the name Meloidogyne javanica (root-knot nematode). Its description in RNAcentral is "partial 18S ribosomal RNA". It matches the Rfam family "Eukaryotic small subunit ribosomal RNA", at positions 1641 to 1831 of the family's 1831-position model. Lineage: Eukaryota; Metazoa; Nematoda; Chromadorea; Rhabditida; Meloidogynidae. The record is from RNAcentral.